This 1251-nucleotide ribosomal RNA is filed under the name metagenome. Its description in RNAcentral is "bacterial SSU rRNA". It matches the Rfam family "Bacterial small subunit ribosomal RNA", at positions 243 to 1520 of the family's 1533-position model. The record is from RNAcentral.
AGCUAGUUGGUGAGGUAACGGCCCACCAAGGCGACGAUCGGUAGCCGGACUGAGAGGUUGAACGGCCACAUUGGGACUGAGACACGGCCCAGACUCCUACGGGAGGCAGCAGUGGGGAAUAUUGCACAAUGGGGGAAACCCUGAUGCAGCGACGCCGCGUGGAGGAAGAGGUCUUCGGAUUGUAAACUCCUGUUGUUGAGGAAGAUAAUGACGGUACUCAACAAGGAAGUGACGGCUAACUACGUGCCAGCAGCCGCGGUAAAACGUAGGUCACAAGCGUUGUCCGGAAUUACUGGGUGUAAAGGGAGCGCAGGCGGGCGAUCAAGUUGGGAGUGAAAUCCAUGGGCUCAACCCAUGAACUGCUUUCAAAACUGGUCGUCUUGAGUAGUGCAGAGGUAGGCGGAAUUCCCGGUGUAGCGGUGGAAUGCGUAGAUAUCGGGAGGAACACCAGUGGCGAAGGCGGCCUACUGGGCACCAACUGACGCUGAGGCUCGAAAGUGUGGGUAGCAAACAGGAUUAGGUACCCUGGUAGUCCACACCGUAAACGAUGAUUACUAGGUGUUGGGAGAUUGACCCUCUCAGUGCCGCAGUUAACACAAUAAGUAAUCCACCUGGGGAGUACGACCGCAAGGUUGAAACUCAAAGGAAUUGACGGGGGCCCGCACAAGCAGUGGAGUAUGUGGUUUAAUUCGACGCAACGCGAAGAACCUUACCAAGUCUUGACAUCCCUUGACGAUGCUGGAAACAGUAUUUCUCUUCGGAGCAAGGAGACAGGUGGUGCAUGGUUGUCGUCAGCUCGUGUCGUGAGAUGUUGGGUUAAGUCCCGCAACGAGCGCGACCCUUAUGGUCAGUUACUACGCAAGAGGACUCUGGCCAGACUGCCGUUGACAAAACGGAGGAAGGUGGGGAUGACGUCAAAUCAUCAUGCCCUUUAUGACUUGGGCUACACACGUACUACAAUGGCGUUAAACAAAGAGAAGCAAGACCGCAAGGUGGAGCAAAACUCAGAAACAACGUCCCAGUUCGGACUGCAGGCUGCAACUCGCCUGCACGAAGUCGGAAUUGCUAGUAAUCGUGGAUCAGCAUGCCACGGUGAAUACGUUCCCGGGCCUUGUACACACCGCCCGUCACACCAUGAGAGCCGGGGGGACCCGAAGUCGGUAGUCUAACCGCAAGGAGGACGCCGCCGAAGGUAAAACUGGUGAUUGGGGUGAGGUCGUAACAAGGUAGCCGUAGGAGAACCUGCAGCUG